AGCGAACGCUGGCGGCAGGCUUAACACAUGCAAGUCGAGCGCCCCGCCAGGGGAGCGGCAGACGGGUGAGUAACACGUGGGAACGUACCCUUUGGUUCGGAACAACCCAGGGAAACUUGGGCUAAUACCGGAUAAGUCCGCGAGGAGAAAGAUUUAUCGCCGAAGGAUCGGCCCGCGUCUGAUUAGCUAGUUGGUGUGGUAACGGCGCACCAAGGCGACGAUCAGGAGCUGGUCUGAGAGGAUGAUCAGCCACACUGGGACUGCGACACGGCCCAGACUCCUACGGGAGGCAGCAGUGGGGAAUAUUGGACAAUGGGGGCAACCCUGAUCCAGCCAUGCCGCGUGAGUGAUGAAGGCCCUAGGGUUGUAAAGCUCUUUCGGGGGGGAAGAUAAUGACGGUACCCACAGAAGAAGCCCCGGCUAACUUCGUG
RNAcentral lists this ribosomal RNA (431 nucleotides) under uncultured bacterium. Its description in RNAcentral is "partial 16S ribosomal RNA". It matches the Rfam family "Bacterial small subunit ribosomal RNA", at positions 29 to 507 of the family's 1533-position model. The record is from RNAcentral.